This 253-nucleotide ribosomal RNA is filed under the name uncultured bacterium. RNAcentral's name for it is "partial 16S ribosomal RNA". It matches the Rfam family "Bacterial small subunit ribosomal RNA", at positions 524 to 776 of the family's 1533-position model. The record is from RNAcentral.
UACGAAGGGGGCUAGCGUUGUUCGGAUUUACUGGGCGUAAAGCGCGUGUAGGCGGGUCGUUAAGUUGGGGGUGAAAUCCCGGAGCUCAACUCCGGAACUGCCCUCAAAACUGGCGACCUGGACCCAAGUAGAGGCAAGUGGAAUUGCGAGUGUAGAGGUGAAAUUCGUAGAUAUUCGCAGGAACACCAGUGGCGAAGGCGACUUGCUGGACUUGUGGUGACGCUGAGAAGCGAAAGCGUGGGGAGCAAACAGG